Molecule: ribosomal RNA, 245 nt
Filed under: uncultured bacterium
Lineage: Bacteria
Description: partial 16S ribosomal RNA
Rfam family: Bacterial small subunit ribosomal RNA
Source: RNAcentral
UACAGAGACUGCAAGCGUUAUUCGGAUUCACUGGGCGUAAAGGGUGCGCAGGCGGCCAAGUGUGUUGGGUGUGAAAGCCCGGGGCUUAACCCCGGAAUUGCUCCCAAAACUACAUGGCUAGAGCAUUGGAGAGGGUAGCGGAAUUCACGGUGUAGCAGUGAAAUGCGUAGAUAUCGUGAGGAACACCAGAGGCGAAGGCGGCUACCUGGACAAUUGCUGACGCUCAGGCACGAAAGCGUGGGGAG